AUAUAUAUGAAAGUUGACGAAGU
Molecule: small nuclear RNA, 23 nt
Filed under: Arabidopsis thaliana (thale cress)
Lineage: Eukaryota; Viridiplantae; Streptophyta; Magnoliopsida; Brassicales; Brassicaceae
Description: snRNA_17697
Source: RNAcentral